AGCAGUAGCCGCGGUAAUACAGAGGGUGCGAGCGUUAAUCGGAUUUACUGGGCGUAAAGCGUGCGUAGGCGGCUUUUUAAGUCGGAUGUGAAAUCCCUGAGCUUAACUUAGGAAUUGCAUUCGAUACUGGGAAGCUAGAGUAUGGGAGAGGAUGGUAGAAUUCCAGGUGUAGCGGUGAAAUGCGUAGAGAUCUGGAGGAAUACCGAUGGCGAAGGCAGCCAUCUGGCCUAAUACUGACGCUGAGGUACGAAAGCAUGGGGAGCAAACAGGAUUAGAUACCCCUGUAGUCCCUGUCUCUUAUAU
Molecule: ribosomal RNA, 303 nt
Filed under: uncultured bacterium
Lineage: Bacteria
Description: partial 16S ribosomal RNA
Rfam family: Bacterial small subunit ribosomal RNA
Source: RNAcentral